Non-coding RNA from Schistosoma rodhaini, 47 nucleotides. The record is from Rfam. Lineage: Eukaryota; Metazoa; Platyhelminthes; Trematoda; Strigeidida; Schistosomatidae.
AUCUAGCUGACGAGUCCCAAAUGGGACGAAACGCAUUUGUCCUGGAU